Molecule: ribosomal RNA, 263 nt
Filed under: uncultured Eubacteriales bacterium
Lineage: Bacteria; Bacillati; Bacillota; Clostridia; Eubacteriales
Description: uncultured Clostridiales bacterium partial 16S ribosomal RNA
Rfam family: Bacterial small subunit ribosomal RNA
Source: RNAcentral
CUUGCUAUGAGCUGUUUUAGCGGCGGACGGGUGAGUAACGCGUGAGCAACCUUUCCCAGACAGGGGGAUAACGGCUGGAAACGGUCGCUAAUACCGCAUGACGUGUUCGGAUGGCAUCAUCUGAACAUCAAAGAUUUAUCGCUGAAAGAUGGGCUCGCGUCUGAUUAGAUAGUUGGUGGGGUAACGGCCUACCAAGUCGACGAUCAGUAGCCGGACUGAGAGGUUGAACGGCCACAUUGGGACUGAGAUACGGCCCAGACUCC